This 1723-nucleotide long non-coding RNA is filed under the name Helianthus annuus (common sunflower). RNAcentral describes it as "hypothetical non coding rna". Lineage: Eukaryota; Viridiplantae; Streptophyta; Magnoliopsida; Asterales; Asteraceae. The record is from RNAcentral.
AUGGCUCUGAGCAUGUCUUCCAUAGUCUGAAUUGUCCUUUCACUUUGUCCAUCUGUUUGAGGAUGAUAAGCUAUACUUAGAUUUAAUCGGGUUCCCAUAGCUUUUUGAAAACUUGUCCAAAAAUGAGAAGUAAAACGACUAUCUCUGUCAGACACAAUAGAUAAAGGAAUCCCAUGUAGUGAGACUAUUUCAUCCACUUACAGCUUGGCUAAUUGUUCCAUACUGAAAGUUUCCUUCAUCGGUAAGAAAUGUGCAAAUUUAGUUAAUCUAUCCACAAUCACCUAGAUUGUGUCAUUACCCUCUCGUGUCUUGGGUAGUUUGGUAACAAAAUCAAUUGUUAUCAAUUCCCAUUUCCAAAUUGGCAUCUUCAAUUGCUGAAGUAACCCUGAAGGCUUUUGAUGUUCAGCUUUAACUUGUGAGCAAGUUAAACAUUUAGCAACAUAACUUGCUAUGUCCUUUCUCAUUCCUAUCCACCAAAAGUUUCUCUUUAGAUCUUGAUACAUCUUGUCAUUUUCAGGAUGCAUCGUAUACUUGGACUUAUGAGCUUCUUAUAAAAUUCGAUUUCGUAGAUUCCCUUGGAUAGGUACCCAGAUUCUUUUCUUAUGGAAUUUCCAAAUUCCAUCUGUUCCUUUUUCUAAUUCUUUUAUCAUUCCUUUUAACCCCUCAGCAUCAUUCUUGAUUGCUGCUCCCUCUACCUUUUUCAAUUGUUCAUUUAAAUCUAUCUAUAGGUUUAAUUUGAGAGCAUGUACCCUCUUUGGCUUUUCAUGAUACUUUCGACUUAAAGCAUCAACUACUACUGAUGUGCGUGAAGUGUGCUAUAUAUUUUAUGUAUAUUUUAAGCCCUUUUACACUUUUUAGCCAAGUUUUAAAUUUAUAAAACAUGAUAUUUACUAACACUAAACACACAUAUGGGCAAGUGCACCCAUCGUGAGCGUAGUAUAGUAUUGGUAAGUACCGAGGUCGUCCAAGGACACAAGAGCUUUUAAUACAGGUUUAUCCUCAACGUCUAAUCAAAUCAAAAGUUAGAAAAAAGGUUUUUAAACUAGAAAAUAAAACUAACUAAAAUGCUGAAAAUAAAAAUAAAAGUAAAAACAGAUAGACAAGAUGAAUCACUUGGAUCCGACUCGUGUGUAGUGUAACCUUUGAUUAUUUCCGCACUUUUGCACUUUUAAGAGAUUAUCUUAGUUAUUGUAGUAGGCCCCUCUUUUGAAGGUGACGUUACCCUCAACCCAGUAGUUUGAGUUAGCAAGGAUACAAUCCUAAAGGGUCGGAUUAUUGAAAGAUAAUUAAUUAAGUUAUUAAUGCAUAAUGUGGUAGGCCCCUCUUUUGAAGGUGACUUUACCCUUGGCUAAGUAGUCUGAGUCAGCAAGGAUACAGUCCUAAGUAGCCGGGUUAAAGUUUUAAUAGUAGCUUAUAUAUGAGGGGAUUAAAUAGUUUGGACCCCGCCAUCCAAUACCGGUGGAUAUUGAAGGAGGUCCUACUAAAUUUGACCCAGGUCCUUGCAGGAUCUAUACACUGAACAAGGCAAGACUCUUACCAAACCGUUCCCUUAACCCCUGACCAGGUAGCCAACAUAUCUCCAUAUAGACCGUGGAGAUAUGAAUGGUGAAAAUCUUUAUUUUAUAUAGACAGUAAAAUAAUGCCAAGACACCACGGACAAACGAUAAGGAAGAAUCUCCUUCAACAUAAGAAACUAGUUAUUAAAGUCAUUAAUACAUAACCA